RNAcentral lists this ribosomal RNA (777 nucleotides) under uncultured Neocallimastigales. Its description in RNAcentral is "partial large subunit ribosomal RNA". It matches the Rfam family "Eukaryotic large subunit ribosomal RNA", at positions 26 to 640 of the family's 3401-position model. The record is from RNAcentral. Lineage: Eukaryota; Fungi; Neocallimastigomycota; Neocallimastigomycetes; Neocallimastigales.
CGUCUAUAUACGUAUAGCAUAUCAAUAAGCGGAGGAAAAGAAACUAACAAGGAUUCCCCUAGUAACGGCGAGUGAAGCGGGAAGAGCUCAAAUUUGAAAUCUUCAAGGUUCUGCCUUGACGAAUUGUAGUUUAAAGAAGUGUUUUCUGUUGGAGUUUUGGUAAAAGUUCUUUGGAAUAGGACAUCAUAGAGGGUGAGAAUCCCGUAUUUGACCAUUAUUUCCAACUUUGUGAUACACUUUCAAAGAGUCGGAUUGUUUGGGAAUGCAGUCCAAAAUGGGUGGUAAAUUUCAUCUAAAGCUAAAUACUGGCGAGAGACCGAUAGCGAACAAGUACCGUGAGGGAAAGAUGAAAAGAACUUUGAAAAGAGAGUUAAACAGUACGUGAAAUUGUCAAAAGGGAAGCGUUUGACACCAGUGUUGUUUUCUCGAAAAUCAAUUAAAAAUGGUGGGAUGUUGUGUUGUAUUGACUUUAUCAGCUUUCUGCACUUUUUUUCCUAUGUCUUUUUAAUGCACUUUUCGUUAACAAGUCAACAUCAAUUUCUUUUGCUGUAAAAGGGUCAUUGGAAGGUGGCUUUCUUUUCGGAGAAAGUGUUUAUAGCCUUUGGCUUCUGCAAUCGGAGAGAUUGAGGUCUGCAGCGUAGAUCCUUCGGGGUUAGAUGCAUUUGUGCUAAGUUAUAGCCUUUCAUAGACAACUUGUUGACUAUGAUUCAGUCAUGUAGCUUACUCGCUUAUGUCUAUUUUACCUACGCUUAGGAUGUUGAUAUGCAUGACUGAUAU